Molecule: transfer RNA, 68 nt
Filed under: Bradyrhizobium sp. CB82
Lineage: Bacteria; Pseudomonadati; Pseudomonadota; Alphaproteobacteria; Hyphomicrobiales; Nitrobacteraceae
Description: tRNA-Ser
Source: RNAcentral
GAUUUUACAAGCGGUGGAACGGUUUCCUAAACCGUAGGUCGGAUGUUCGAGUCAUCCCGGGAUCGCCA